Long non-coding RNA from Marmota monax (woodchuck), 5394 nucleotides. RefSeq lists it as uncharacterized. NCBI's taxonomy places the organism in Eukaryota, Metazoa, Chordata, Mammalia, Rodentia, Sciuridae. The transcript is spliced from 2 exons. The record is from RefSeq and is a predicted model, not a curated record.
GUGUAGUCUUUGGUAACUCUCUUCCUUGCUUAUCCAAUUUAAAAAUCAUCUGCAUGUAUUGGUAACUACAAGCUGCUAAAGAGCUUUCAAUGUAUAAAGUUGUCAUUUGUCAAAGGAGAGAGUAGAGCUAACUGGGAGUGAAGGUAGGUGUACUGUCCAAAUUAAGUGGGUAUUGACCUGGACUCGAGUAUUUGAAUUUCAGAUGCUCAUUGUAAUACCAAGGGCAACUGCUGAUAAAACAAUUUAAAAAAUACCAAGAACAAAGAAAUGAACGUCACGCUAGGAAAUAUCUACCUAGCACCCCCCCCAAAAAAGGUAUUCAUGGAGAGACUGAAGAACAAAACUCAUAAGACAUAUGGAAAGCAAGUAGAAAAUGCAAGAUCUGAAUCCCACUUCAUCAAAAGUUACGUUAAACGCAGAAUGAUUAAACAAUCAAAAGGCAGACACAGGCAAAAUGAAAAAUUUAAAUCAUUCAACAGUAUGCUGUCUACCAGAGACAUUUUAAAUUCAAAGACAAGGGAAAUCAUGAAAACAAUUCCACUUGCAAUCACCUCAGAGAAUAUGAAAUAUUGGGGCUGGGACUGUGGCUCAGCGGUAGAGCGCUCGCCUAGCAUGGGCGGGACCCAGGUACGAUCCUCAGCACCCCAUAAAAAUAAAAGUAUUAGUGUUGUGUCCAUCUACACCUAAAAAAUAAAUAUUUUUUAAAGUAUAAAAUAUGUAGGAAUAAGUUCAACAUAAGAAGUGGAAGACUUGUACACCAAACACUGCAAUGUGAGGGCCUGAGUCAAUGGGAAAACAUCCCAUGUUCAUGGAUGCCAAGACUCCUAGGGCUAAGACAGCAGCAUCCUCAACUGAUCUGCAGAGCCCAGGCAGCCUCUAUCAAAAUUCUAGCUGCCUCUUUUCCUAGAAACUGAAGACCCUAUUUUAAAAUUCACAUGGAGGGGCUGGGGCUGUAGCUCAGUGGCAGAGCGCUUGCCUAGCAUGUGUGAGGCGCUGGGUUCGAUCCUCAGCACCACAUAAAACUAAACAAAUAAAAUAAAGACAUACCUUUCAUCCAUCUACAACUACAAAUUUUUUUUAAAAAUUCAUAUGGAAAAGCAAGGGAUCCAAAAAUAGCCAAAACAAUUCUGACGGAGAAGAACAAAGGUGGAUUCCUGAUAAACUCGUGCUCCCAGCCCAGCAGUCCAGAACCCAUGGCACUCACACAGGCACUGAGGUGUGAACCAGGGGACAGACUGGGUGCCAGGAACAGACACCUAGUCAAUUGAUUUUUUAAUGAGAAUGACAGGCGAUUCAAUGGAGGAGAGUAGUUUUUUCAACAGAUGGUGCUGGACGUCCACAUGCAAAAGAACAAACCCAGAGUCAACCGUGUGAACCUUUCUGUUCCUGUAAAGCACGAGGCAGUCCAUUUAUAUAGAGUUUCCCGCCCAGGGUCAGUUAGCCCUGCUGCACUCAGGCCAGUGGGGAGGCAGCGCGUCACGGCAGGAGCACAGGGUGGAGCCAGGAAGUGAGAGAGGGAAAAAGCAAGAGGCCAGGGUCCACUCUCCCCAUGGCAAGAGGCCACGCCCCCAAUGACCUAAAGAUCUCCCACUAGGCCCCACCCCUUAAAGGCACCACCACUUCCCAUCAGGGCCAUGGGCUUGGGACCCCGAUAACACAUAGGCCUUUGGGGGACAUUCCAGAUCCAACUAUCACAAUGUACAAAAUUAACUCAAAAUUGAUUGAAGGCCUAAAUGUGAAAACUAUAAUCAUGAAAGUCUCAGAGGAAAACAGAUGUAAAACUCCAUGAGCUUGGAUCAGGCUCUUGUUUGUUAGGUAACACAUCUAAGGCACAAGGAAGAAUAGGUAGACUGGAUUUCAUUCAAGUUAAAACUUCUGUACAUUAAAAAAAAAAAAGACAAAACUAGGCAGAGAAUAGGAGAAAAUAUUUGUGAGUCAUAGAGCUGAUAAAGAACUACAUCAAACUCUCACUGCUCAAUAUUACUAUUCAACAAUAAAAAGACACCGACAUUUUUGGAAUGGGCCAAAAACUCAAACAGACGUUUCUUCAAAGGGAAACAUAGACGUAUGACUGCUAAGCACAAAAAGAUACUGGGCUUCGUUCAUCAUUAGGGGAAUGCAAUCGUAACCAUGAAUAAGAAUAAUCUCUUCACACAGAAAUCCCUCUAAUUCGGUAAAAUGUAUCUACUAAAAACCUGAAGGGUAAAUAUCAUAUGCAGUAUGUAAUACAGUGGUAAAAAUAUAAUUCAAGUCAAAAAUGAAAUAUGUAUGCCUACUGUAUGGGCUUUUGCAGCAUUUUUCUAGAGAUUCUAGCUAGCAAUCUAAAACCAGGGGAAAAAUCAGAUAAGGAGUUUUCAAAAAAGAAACAAAAGAUAUCGUUGUUGGUGGCUGGAAUAAUUGUUUCCGCCGAAAAUCCAAGAUGAGCUACAAUUAGAACCAGCAAAUACUGAAUAAAGUUUCUGGGCAAAACUCAACAGUGUCCUUCUCUGUCCCCCCAAAUCAGAAAGUGUAACUGAAAGAAAGUUUCCAGUCAUAAAAGCAAGAAAAACUGUAAGUCACUUGGGAAUAAAUCCAAUGAAAGAUGCGAGAGACCUUUAUGGAGAAAAUUAUGAAGUUACCUAAGAAUGUGGAAGACCCGCCCCUCCAAAUGGAGAAAUAUAGCACGUUCACGCUCCACGCUUGGGAAGACUCGGGUUACACAGGCUCAGGGCUCCUCCAGAUGAAUCUAGAAAUUCACUGCAGUUGCAAUUCAAACCUCGGCGGAGCUCCUGGCAGAGCCUGACAACCUGAUUCCAACGUUAAUCUGAAGUGGGUAAGGGCAGGAGGAGCCAAAAUAAAGAACAGCAAGAAAGAACUCUCUCGACCACUUCUAAAGACCCACGACAAAGCCACAAGAUGGCACAUUCGAUCCCCGGUGCCGGAGAAGAGAGAGAAGGAUUCACAUCAUGGGAGGACCAUGAAGAGAGACACGUGGAUCGUGGAGCAGACCAGACACCCAGGCAUUUGUGAGGGUCUUGGGGGGGGGGGCGGUCAAAGGCAGCUGCGUCUCUGUGAAGAGAAAGUGGAGCCUCCAACGGUGUCAGAGAGCUGGCUGGUCCCAGGGGGGAGGUCUUCACUGGAUCCCUACUUCACACCGCACCUAGAGAGACAUUCCUGAUAGAGCAAAACCAAACUUUAAAGCUAUUCUAAGGAAGUUUAGUGGAAUAUCAGGAAAAGUUUCCCUAAACAAAUAGCAAAAGAUACAGAUUAUCAUGGGAAAAAAAAAAAUCUUAAGUCGACCACACGGAGGACUGGAAGUUCUGUGUGCCAACACUGUCGCACGACACAGUUGAAGUACGACCCAUCCGUGAGACGUUGCAGCAGUCAGAGAAUAGAAUUUGGUAUCUAUAGAACUCUCAUAAACUCAAAAGGGAAAGACACCCUCAUCUGGAAGAAGGAACUGGUGUGCAGCCCAGGGGUCAAGCACUUGCAUGUAUAAGGCUCCAGUUUCCGUCCCCAGCACUGCCAGAAAAUAAAAAUAAUUUUAAUUUUUUAAAAAAUAUUUAUUUCUUAGUUGUACACAAUACCUUUAUUUUGUUUAUUUUUGUGUGGUGCUGAGGAUCGAACCCAGGGCCUCACACGUGCUAGGCGAGUACUCGACUGCUGAGCCACAGCCCCAGCCCCUAAUUUUAAUUUUUUAAAAAUCAAAUAAAAGAAAGUACCACAAUUAGACAAUGAAAAUGAUCAACAAAUACAUGUUAAAAAUGAAACUUCACUAAGAAGCUGGAAAACAAUGUUUUUUUUAAACUUAAUUCCAUUUCAUACAGAUCAUAUUGGCCCCCCAAAAAUUCAGUGCCCCAAUGCCCUCCAGCCGGGAUCUUUCAUGCUACUAGAAUUGUGGUUGGGAUGAUCACUCUAGAACACAAUUUGGUGGUAUGCAUUAAAGAUAAGUAGGCACCUGUUCUAGCACUUUCACUGUUAGGUAGAGACCUAGAAAACCCAUGCAAGACAUUGAUUGGGACUGAAAAGAAGAAAACCAGAACAUUCUUCCCUGAGGGGACUGUUGUUCUAACGUGCCAUGCCAGUCUGGUGGAAUAUUACACAGCUGUGAAAAUGGAACCCUUUAUCUGAUUUUUUCCCAGCUUUAGAUGGCUAGCUAGAAUCUCCAGACAUGUGAAUAUCAGCCCACAUGGACUCACAAGGUACCAGGUGAAGAUUUCACACUAGAGAUGGCUAAAUUCAGCUUCUCAUUCCUGCAAGAUGCCUUUAAACACACAAAAGCCACUGUAUAUUGUUCAUAUGUACAAACACAUCUAGAAAAACAAAAGAAAAAUAGAAAAACAUGAGCAGGAAGGAUUUAAAAAAUUCAUGGUCACGAUCGCCUCUGAGGAACGGGGAAGGAGCGUGGUAAUAAGGAAGGGAACGAGGAACCUCAUCAUUAUUCCUUUCUUGCUUUGUUUGUCGAAAUGCUGAGACCAGAAGUCAUUUUAAGAUUUUCUUCUUUUACCAAAGACAGUGAGUCCAGUGGAGCAGACGUCAGCUUUCAUGAACUUGAAGUGGGGAGCAGACGGGACUUUCUUCCUCCUCCCUCCCCCCCUUCCACCUGCCCAUCCAAUAAGAAGACGUAGCGCUGGCCUCUGCUUCCUACAGAUCUGUGAAUACAACAUCUUUUUCCCUUGUAAACGGCCCAGUCUGCAGCGUUCAACUAGAGCAAGGGAGAGCAGGAGAGCAGCCCAAGGUCCUCGGAACCUACACAGUGGUGACGUUGCUCGCUCAGAGUUGAUGAGCAGCCGGGAGCGGGUGAGAGAGUGGGCUGGCUCCUGGGGGGACCGGUGAGCCAGGCUGAGGGUCUCAGACUUCACCCUGCGGGCACCGGGAACUCUGGGUUGACAGCGUCCUUCCCGUGGGACCCUGUGGCCUCCACUUCCUGCACGUCAAGGUUAAGAAAAAGUCCCACCCCACUGAGACGAUUCAGGUAUCUGCCAUUCCCACAGAGGGACCGUCCCUCUUGUCACUCUCCCUUCUUAAAGAGCAGCCACAUCCGUGGGGUGACAACAGACCACUGGGCCCUGAUGGACCAGAUACGAGGGACAGCAGCUCAGGAACGCCUGGAGACCUGGGCACCCAGCCUCACUGCAGCCCCUCAAGCAGAGACAAAGUCCCUGGACCAGGGCAGCUGAGCUGCGAGCCGCACUCCUGCCCUCCAGGGUCUAGGUCCAGCCAGCCCAGGGGCCACCGCGGGUUACCUGGACCCUCCUGCUCACCACACUGGAAGCAGCAAAGGAUACGGCCAGGCUUGUCUUUUAAGGCCUGGACGGUGGCGGGGCAGGACCAUGUGAUGACUCCCGAGAGUCUUGGCCUCUCCCUUCCUGGGCCCCUUCUUCAUGACAAAUAAAGGCGAAUAUAUUAAUGUUA